Quercus lobata is the source of this 4631-nucleotide long non-coding RNA. RefSeq lists it as uncharacterized. NCBI's taxonomy places the organism in Eukaryota, Viridiplantae, Streptophyta, Magnoliopsida, Fagales, Fagaceae. The transcript is spliced from 3 exons. The record is from RefSeq and is a predicted model, not a curated record.
UUCCAAAUCUUAUUAUAAGAAGCCAUUCUAUCUAAGAUUCAGAGUACCAAGACUUGAAGCUUGACUUGCUGCCCCUACUAAAACUUCCUGAACUGCACCAAAAACCUGCUGGACUACGAUUUCCACCAGUGAACAUGUACCUUGAACGAUAUUACAACAUUAACAACACGGUAAUAAAUGACUUUAUUACCGACGAGCUACAACGGUCAAAAAGAACAAUUACAAGCCAAUUAAGUCUCCAUUUAUACUCAGAUAAAGAUUUCUUAAGCAGUCAGGAGAACCAUUAAAGGCCCCCAAUGGCUUUACAAGAACAGGCUAUAAUAAGCCAUCAAAUACUAGAAGAAAGGUACGCACACCAAAAUAUACAGAAUUACAUUCUUAUUCUCUAAUAGAUAUUAAGAAGCUUUCUGACUUAGUCAUGAGAUCAUUGGUUGAUGCCACUCCGACGCAUUCUCUCUCAUCUUUGCAAGGAACAUCACCUUGUUAGGACUUAUACAAGGUCCAUGACUGACAACCACUUUUGGCAUCAUUAGUUUGGCGCCAUUUGUGAGGAUUGAGUUCUGAAUCAUACAAAUUUUUGUAGCUCUACCAUUUAAGUGACAUGAUGAAUCCAAGUUCAUCAACUCUAUUUGAUUCGAUGUAGAUGACCUAGCAAAUUCAAACGCUGAUAGCAAGCGUAGAAGAGCUAGUCAAACAAAAAUUGGAGUUGAGCCAAUGCAUCUCUCAGGAGAAUAGCAAUGUGCCACCCCGCUAAUGUAACUAGAACAACAAUGAUGAAGAAGUUCAUAGCCCACAGAAUAGUCAUAAAGAAGAAAAUUAUAGGUGUUUAGAACAGUCAAAUUCCAGGCAAACAAAACAAUCCAAUCAAAACAAUGACGAGCUUGAGGAAAGAAAUGGACGAAAUGAAAAGUGCCUUGAAAGGAAAGUCGUCCAGGAACUCAGAUGGAAUACUCAAGAGAACAGAUUCAUUGUUCAUUGGCAAGGUCCUAGAAUGCCCUCUCCUAGGGGUGUGCUCGGUUUGAUUUCGGUUGGUUUUUAUGGGUAUGGCCAACCGAAACCGAAUAUUUUGGUUUGUGAAAUUCUCAACUGAAACCAACCGAAAUGGCUAGAAAUCAAUCGGUUUUGGUGUAUUUCGAUUUUAGUCAGUUUUGGUCAGUUUUUGGUUUUCCAAAGAGAGGGUUAUUGAGAAAUAAAGAUUUUUUUUUUUUAAUUUUUUUUAUCAAACAGAGAUAUUAUUGAAAGAAAAACACAGUAAAAACAUAGACCCUAUUUUCAACACAAAAUACAGAGUAACUCAGUAAAAACACAGACCCUAUUUUCAUCAAAAAAUACAGAGCAACACAUUAAAAACCAUAAAACACAAACUAAGAUUAGUAGCUACAAAGUUUCUUUAAAACAAACAUCAUGGGAUGACACAAAACCCAUGGAAUCCCAGUACAAGCAUGGGUGAUUUGGGAUGAGAUAAACAAAAUCAAGAAGUAGCAAGAAACGAAGAGACCGAAUUGGUACCAGCAUAGGUGAUUUGGGAUGAGAGAAACAAAAUCAAGAAGAAGACAUACCAUAGCAAGAAACGAAGAGACCAAAUUGGUGCUUAGAAAAAUAAGAUGUAUGCGGAUAUCAAAAAAAGGAAAAGAUGCAAGGUAUGUGUUUGUGAAAGGGAAAGAAAAGUGGGUGAGGGAUUGAGGGGCGUGUGUUUGUGAGAGGGAGAGAAAAUUGGGUGAGAGGCGGCUAGGGUUAUAAGUUAUAUAUAAGAUGCUAGGGUUUAAUUUUUUUUUUAAAAAAUUUCAAAAUGGAGAGGCGAAGGCUCAAACUAGUGAACAAGUGGCUGACAUGUGCGCAAUUUUCCUCUAAGCUACUUACUCUGAUAUGUUUUAAACUUACAUAUAUCGGUCGGUUCAGUUGGUUUCAAGGUGAAAAAAUCCAGCACUGAAACCGAAACCAAAAUAUUUCGGUUUCAAAAAAUUAAAACCAAAACCAAACUGAAAAAUUGAACUUGGUUUAGCCAGUUUUUUCUGUUCAUCGGUUUUUUGCACACCCCUACCCUCUCCCAUCAAAGUUUUAACUUUCUUAAUUGGAAACUUAUGAUGGGCAAAUGGAUCCACUGACAUACAUAGAGUCUUUCAAGACAUUGCUGAACCUCCAAUGAACACUUGAUGAAGUGACAUGUAAGUCCUUCCCAACAACUCUUAAAGGAGUUGCUUAAGUUUGGUUUAGCAAGUUGGCAUCGUCCUUGAUCAGAAAUUUCGAACAAUUAAGUGAUUUCUUUAUACAACAUUUGAUUGGUGGCCAAAGACACAAAAGGGAGAAACUUUGAGGGCUUAUGUGAAACGUUUCAGCCGAUCGAUCCUAGAGGUAGACAAAGCAGACAACCAAGUUCAAUUGACGGCCUUCUAGACAGGCUUGACCACCAAAGAUUUCAUCUUUUCAUUAGCCAAGACCUUGCCUACUACAAUGACAGACCUCAUAUUCAAAGCUCUGAAGUACAUGAGCGGAGAAGAUGCGCUAACAGCAAAAGGAAUGGAUGGCAAGGGAAAGAUAGAAGAUAUAGACGAGCCCUAACACAAAAAGAAGGAGAAGAAAGAUCUUUCUCCUAAUAAAAAAAAUGACAAGGGAAGUUCAAAUCCUCUGAAUAAAAUUGUAAAUUUUACCCCUUUGAAUAUGCUUGUAGAAAAAGUUUUGUUGCAGAUUAAGGACAACCCAAAUUUGAGGUGGCCGAAGCCCUUAAGCUCAUUGCCUCAUAGAGGAUAUUAGAAGUAUUGCUAUUUCCACAAAGAUCACGACCACUAUAUAGAAGAAUGCAAAGAUCUGAAGGAACAAAUUGAAGAGUUGAUACAGAAAGGGAAGUUACAAAAUUUGUCAAAACUCAAAAGAGAUCACCAUCAUAAAAUAGAGGAAAAACUAAAGCAAAAUGAUGACAAAAAUGAGGAUGAGCAAAAUAAUGCUAGGACCACUGUUAGUGAGAUAAGAAUGAUCAAUGGAGGACUAGUAAUUAGAGGGUCAUUCAAAUAUUUGUGAAAAACUCACCAAAGGCAGGUUAAUAGUAUUCAUGUAGGACAACCAAUGAUAAGGCAUUGGAAGAUAGGAGCAGAUGAUAUGGCAUUCUCAAAAUAAGAUGCUAGAGGAGUGAAGCAGCUUCAUGACAAACCACUGGUAAUCAUACUUUCCGUAGAAGGGUAUAACACUUGUCAAGUGUUGGUUGGCAAUGGAAGUUCAGUAGACAUCAUGUAUAUGACGGCCUUUCAGCAAAUGAAGAUAGACCUAAAAAGGCUUCACCCUUUUAAGUCACCUCUAGUCGGCUUUAUCGAAGAUUGAGUCUACCAGAAGGAAAUUAUUUCCUUAUCAAUCAUAGCAGGAAUCUACCCUACACAGGUAACCAAAAGUAUUGAUUUCCUCAUAAUUUAUUGCUCAUUGUCCUAUAAUGUCAUUUCAGGAUGACCAACACUCAAACUAUUGAAGGCCACAACCUUGAUGUAUUGUCUCAAUGUCAAGUUCCCAACUACCCAUGGGAUAAGGGAGAUUCAUGGAGAUCAAGUACUAGUCCGAGAAUGCUAUCAAGCAGUGCUCGCAGGGAAAGAAAAGCACACAUGGAUCAUCUAAGAAGAGUCCUAACAGAUAAUAUGAUGAGCAUUGCUUCCUCUUGUCCAUUUAUAACAUGAGAAAUUGACAUCGUCGAACCAAUUCCACAAGAACCCAUUGCCAGAACUUUGUGUGGAGCAAUAUCACUUGCAAGUUCGGCAUCCAAGGAUCAUCAUCUUGGAUAAUAGAUGACAGUUCGACAAUUCCAAAUUCAAAGAUUUAUGCCGUGAGCUAGUAAUCAAGAACCAUUUCUCCUCCCCCAGGCACCCCUAGGCCAAUAGACAGAUGGGGGUAGCAAAUCGGACCUUGCUGAAGAUCAUCAAGGUUCAACUUGAGGGGGGGUAAAUGGGGCAUGGCUAGAAGAGCUACCUGGUGUGUUAUGAACAUGCUGAACAACGACAAGAACUCCUACAAGGGAAACUCCAUUCAAACUAGCUUUUGGUAAAAAAGUAGUUAUCCCAAUGGAGGUUGGUUUAUCUAGCCUCAGGAGAGAACCUUUCGAUGUAGAUACCAACGAAGAAAGUUGCAAGUUAGACCUUGAUUUCCUAAACGAAGUUAGAGAAGAUGCUUUGCAGUGAAUGACGAAAUACAAGCAGAAAAUGGCAAAGUAUCAUGAUUAGAGGGUUGAGCUCAGGAGGAUCAAUCUUGGGGACCUAGUACUACACAAAGUGACUGAAGCCACAAAAGAUCUAGCACAAGGGAAAUUGAACCCAACCUGGGAAGGCCCAUUCGAGAUCGGUAAGCACUAUAUACGAGGGAACUUAUUACCUCAAGUGACUCGACGAUAAACAGCUACCUCGUAUGUGAAAUGUAGAGCACCUCAAAAGUGUGUGGCUGGAAUAUCAAGUCAAAUCUCACUUAUGCUAUGCAAAAUGGGAACUCGAUGAGGCAACAGUCCCCCACUAGACUUAAUUAUUAAGUCUUCUCGGUAGUCCUCCCCCAUCUCAGUGUAUGAUAUCAUCUUAUAUUUUGUUGUGAACCUUGUUUUAAUAAUAGGCAUUAAACAUUCUCCUGUCAUUAUGGUAAAUAGAAAUGAUUUCAAUAAGUAUAAGAAU